GGAGCCGACCUUGAAAUACCACCCUUUAAUGUUUGAUGUUCUAACGUGGACCCGUAAUCCGGGUUGCGGACAGUGUCUGGUGGGUAGUUUGACUGGGGCGGUCUCCUCCUAAAGAGUAACGGAGGAGCACGAAGGUUGGCUAAUCCUGGUCGGACAUCAGGAGGUUAGUGCAAUGGCAUAAGCCAGCUUGACUGCGAGCGUGACGGCGCGAGCAGGUGCGAAAGCAGGUCAUAGUGAUCCGGUGGUUCUGAAUGGAAGGGCCAUCGCUCAACGGAUAAAAGGUACUCCGGGGAUAACAGGCUGAUACCGCCCAAGAGUUCAUAUCGACGGCGGUGUUUGGCACCUCGAUGUCGGCUCAUCACAUCCUGGGGCUGAAGUAGGUCCCAAGGGUAUGGCUGUUCGCCAUUUAAAGUGGUACGCGAGCUGGGUUUAGAACGUCGUGAGACAGUUCGGUCCCUAUCUGCCGUGGGCGCUGGAGAAUUGAGGGGGGCUGCUCCUAGUACGAGAGGACCGGAGUGGACGCAUCACUGGUGUUCGGGUUGUCAUGCCAAUGGCACUGCCCGGUAGCUAAAUGCGGAAGAGAUAAGUGCUGAAAGCAUCUAAGCACGAAACUUGCCCCGAGAUGAGUUCUCCCUGACUCCUUGAGAGUCCUGAAGGAACGUUGAAGACGACGACGUUGAUAGGCCGGGUGUGUAAGCGCAGCGAUGCGUUGAGCUAACCGGUACUAAUGAACCGUGAGGCUUAACCUUACAACGCCGAAG
RNAcentral lists this ribosomal RNA (761 nucleotides) under Escherichia coli. RNAcentral's name for it is "bacterial LSU rRNA". It matches the Rfam family "Bacterial large subunit ribosomal RNA", at positions 2182 to 2925 of the family's 2925-position model. Lineage: Bacteria; Pseudomonadati; Pseudomonadota; Gammaproteobacteria; Enterobacterales; Enterobacteriaceae. The record is from RNAcentral.